UGGAUCCUUCACUUGUAUGUUGAAGCUCUCCUCACAUGGUGGAUUGUGGUUUAGGUUGAGUUUUCUCCCUUAGAUAACAAAAGACCUUAAGGCUUUUGAACCAAUCAAUUCACCAACUUUUUUUGAGAUUUUUACCCCGAACUACGAGGUUUUGAUCCUACUUUUGUGAUGGUACGUAGGCAAUGGGUUUAUCCAUUCAAACAACAAAAUUGUAAAUAA
This 219-nucleotide long non-coding RNA is filed under the name Lathyrus oleraceus (garden pea). RNAcentral's name for it is "Pisum sativum (pea) long non-coding RNA (PSAT_LNC026255)". The record is from RNAcentral. Lineage: Eukaryota; Viridiplantae; Streptophyta; Magnoliopsida; Fabales; Fabaceae.